GAAAUUUUAUAAAACAAGGAAUACCUUAUUUUAUCAACCGCCUGAGGGGCUGAGUAUGAAUAGAGGUCCUUUUAAUGCCUUUGAAAAGAUGCAUUGUCCUGAGUCAUCCAAGAGGAUGAACAGUGUGAGCUUGGAGCUAGACUGAAGACUCUCCGUCCUCUGCCUGAAUCCACAUGCAGUCCCUUUGGCAAUUGAAGUUACAAGGAUAACAUCUCUUUUGUUGACAUAAAACAUGGGAGCUUCAGUGGCAGGAUCUCAUUAUCUGAUUACAGAUGUGACUUUGAAGUAAUCUCUCUGAAUGAGCAUUUUAGGAAGAGUUGUUGCUCCCAGGCCAAGCCCAAGGUUGUGGAAGAGGAUUUGCAAAGGGCAUCAGAAAAGAUGACUGAAAGGGUUCUCCAUUCCCAAGCAAGAGGGAACCCUGAUGGCCAGAAGGAACACAGGAACCACAGCGCAUGGCACAGAACAGUGACCAGGAAGGCCGAAGG
This 485-nucleotide long non-coding RNA is filed under the name Bos indicus x Bos taurus (hybrid cattle). RNAcentral describes it as "lncRNA (ENSBIXG00005024038.1)". Lineage: Eukaryota; Metazoa; Chordata; Mammalia; Artiodactyla; Bovidae. The record is from RNAcentral.